RNAcentral lists this long non-coding RNA (348 nucleotides) under Setaria italica (foxtail millet). Its description in RNAcentral is "long non-coding RNA (SITA_LNC006455)". Lineage: Eukaryota; Viridiplantae; Streptophyta; Magnoliopsida; Poales; Poaceae. The record is from RNAcentral.
ACGCAACCACAAACGCCAGGUCCAUUCCCACCACCGCCGCCGCCACUGCCAUCUAUAUUGCCACCGCUUCUGCAACAAUUUGCUCAAAAUACUGGAGGAAUGGUCGGAGUGGGAGGACCUUUUGGGAUGAUGGCUGGCUCAAUUCCACCUCCGCCUCCAUUGUCGCUGCCGGCAGGUUUCCCGGGACUAAGUGGGCCACCUCCUCCACCUCCACCUCCACCAGCUCAGAACCAGCCCCAGCAGCAGCAGUCUCCGCAGCCACCACAGCAAUCACCAACAUCAGCCGGAUUCUUUCAAACAUCAAGCAUGGGGUUCUUUCCGCCGGUGCAGGUGCAGCAAUCUCCAUCU